RNAcentral lists this non-coding RNA (28 nucleotides) under Homo sapiens (human). The record is from RNAcentral. Lineage: Eukaryota; Metazoa; Chordata; Mammalia; Primates; Hominidae.
UGGAAUAACAUUUGGAAGUAGUAGACUU